RNAcentral lists this ribosomal RNA (500 nucleotides) under uncultured bacterium. RNAcentral describes it as "partial 16S ribosomal RNA". It matches the Rfam family "Bacterial small subunit ribosomal RNA", at positions 30 to 523 of the family's 1533-position model. The record is from RNAcentral.
AUUGAACGCUGGCGGCAGGCCUAACACAUGCAAGUCGAGCGGAUGACGGGAGCUUGCUCCUUGAUUCAGCGGCGGACGGGUGAGUAAUGCCUAGGAAUCUGCCUGGUAGUGGGGGACAACGUUUCGAAAGGAACGCUAAUACCGCAUACGUCCUACGGGAGAAAGCAGGGGACCUUCGGGCCUUGCGCUAUCAGAUGAGCCUAGGUCGGAUUAGCUAGUUGGUGGGGUAAUGGCUCACCAAGGCGACGAUCCGUAACUGGUCUGAGAGGAUGAUCAGUCACACUGGAACUGAGACACGGUCCAGACUCCUACGGGAGGCAGCAGUGGGGAAUAUUGGACAAUGGGCGAAAGCCUGAUCCAGCCAUGCCGCGUGUGUGUAGAAGGUCUUCGGAUUGUAAAGCACUUUAAGUUGGGAGGAAGGGCAGUAAGCUAAUACCUUGCAGUUUUGACGUUACCGACAGAAUAAGCACCGGCUAACUCUGUGCCAGCAGCCGCAGUAA